Molecule: ribosomal RNA, 738 nt
Filed under: uncultured Methanosarcinaceae archaeon
Lineage: Archaea; Methanobacteriati; Methanobacteriota; Methanomicrobia; Methanosarcinales; Methanosarcinaceae
Description: SSU rRNA
Rfam family: Archaeal small subunit ribosomal RNA
Source: RNAcentral
UCCGGGAUAACCCCGGGAAACUGGGGAUAAUACCGGAUAACGCAUAUAUGCUGGAAUGCUUUAUGCGUAAAAUGGAUUCGUCUGCCCAAGGAUGGGUCUGCGGCCUAUCAGGUAGUAGUGGGUGUAAUGUACCUACUAGCCUACACGGGUACGGGUUGUGAGAGCAAGAGCCCGAAGAUGAUUCUGAGACAUGAAUCCAGGCCUACGGGGCGCAGCAGGCGCGAAAACUUUACAAUGCGGAAACCGGUGAUAAGGGGACACCGAGUGCUAGCAUCAUAUGCUGGCUGUCCAGGUGUGUAAAAUACACCUGUUAGCAAGGGCCGGGCAAGACCGGUGCCAGCCGCCGCGGUAACACCGGCGGCCCGAGUGGUGAUCGUGAUUAUUGGGUCUAAAGGGUCCGUAGCCGGUUUGGUCAGUCCUCCGGGAAAUCUGAUAGCUCAACUAUUAGGCUUUCGGGGGAUACUGCCAGACUUGGAACCGGGAGAGGUAAGAGGUACUACAGGGGUAGGAGUGAAAUCUUGUAAUCCCUGUGGGACCACCUGUGGCGAAGGCGUCUUACCAGAACGGGUUCGACGGUGAGGGACGAAAGCUGGGGGCACGAACCGGAUUAGAUACCCGGGUAGUCCCAGCCGUAAACGAUGCUCGCUAGGUGUCAGGCAUGGCGCGACCGUGUCUGGUGCCGCAGGGAAGCCGUGAAGCGAGCCACCUGGGAAGUACGGCCGCAAGGCUGAAACUUAA